This 28-nucleotide small RNA is filed under the name Bombyx mori (domestic silkworm). Its description in RNAcentral is "ovarian small RNA-11755". The record is from RNAcentral. Lineage: Eukaryota; Metazoa; Arthropoda; Insecta; Lepidoptera; Bombycidae.
AGAACAGUAAUCACUGUGCUAGACUAAG